AUUACAUGAUGCUAUUUCUCAGCACUUUGUCUAUGUUUCAAAAAUGUUCCACAGAGCAUUCUGAAGAGCUUAUGUCACAUAAUUCGUUCUUAAAGAUUGCCAGUUCUACAGCAUGUACUAUGGUCCUGGGUGAGUUUCUUCCAGGUCUCAAAGUUGAUCUCAAAACUCCUGAGUGAAGUCUUCAGAAUAUUCUUGGAACGCUGACCAUCAUGAGUGUGUACUCCAGACUCAACUCUCUGUGAAAGAUUUGUUUUGGCCUUUAACUAUGAACAACUGCCCUGCAAGAGCUGCUGGUCAAUUAGAGGACCCGGUACUGCUACCAGGAGUGUUGAAUGCUGCUGGUGCUACAGAAGGCCUGGAAUGACAUCAUCGACGGAGGCCCAUUAUGAAGAGAAAUACAUUGGACUGACUGAGGCUAGUCAGAGCUCUCGCCACAUUGUGUACCCCCACAACUUCACUGCUAACCUUUUAAUUAGCAAUUUAGGCACCUUGACAAGCCUCUGAGUCGGAAGACAUUCUUGACUUUCUUUGCCUCUAAGUUAAUUGUUGAACUGGGGAGCGGGGGCAAAAGAGAAAAAAUGGACAGGUGUAUAUCGUUGGGAAGGUUGCAGGUUCUCUCUACAAGGUGUCUUCCUAGCCAACUGUAUAACAUCACCAACCUCCGCCUUCUGGCUGCUCCUAUGGCACACAGGGGUUGGAGAAUUAAACUCAACCUGUGGGAUGAUACAGACCAGGAAGAGGCUAUCCAAAUAAUAUGUUUUGAGGCAUAUUCCAGUUACCACUCCUCUGCUGUUUUUGUGUAGCCUCACACAUACUUUCCUUUCAAGUAUUUCCCAUGUCUUUUUGAAAAUUAUUACCAAAUUUGCAUCCAAUGUAAUCUCAAACAAUAUAUUCCACACUAUACAAAGUCACUGUAGAAGAUCUUUUUUCUUUCUUAUUUUGUUCAUGGUUCUUUUGCAAAUUACUUUACUUCUGUGUUCUCUGGUUGCCCAUCCUUUCCAACCAAGAAAUCCUCUUCAGCAGAGAGGAUACCCAGUACUCUUAAGACCCCUCAACUCAUUCUGUCAUCUAUAAUGUGUUACCAGGUGUCACAUUAAUGUCCCCUUUAAAAUCAACCCUUUUAGUUUAUAUUGCCUCUCAUUAUUCUUAUAUAAUAUUGAUCAUUUCAGACUUCUCUGCCUCAAACAUCAACCACUGUGUUUCUCCACAUUUUACCGAUCUAUCUAAAUCUUCCCAGAGUCUCUUAUUAUAUACGUCACUGGUUUUUCAGUUUCAAGUUUGUACUAUUUGCAAACUUCAAAAUUAUAGUAUGAGUACGGAUGUAUGGCUGAUUAUUACACGUCAGAAGUUGUGAUGGCUUGCAUUUUGAGCCUUAAGAAAACUACUGUGUUUCCAGUCUGCAAAAUCAUUUACUACUACUAAACACUUUCUGUCAGCUAACUCAUGAAAUAUCCUACCAGCCACUGGUCCUUUAAUAGCGUGGGUUUGUAAUUUGCUUGUAAGUUACUGGCUACUUACUGGUGUUUGUUAUGUUGUCCACGUUUUCAUACACGGACACACUUGCUUCUGAAUUUUGAUCAAAUUCUGUCAAGAAACAAAACACUAUGUUAGUGAGUAUACAGAAUACGUUGAUAUUAAACUGU
This is a long non-coding RNA of Stegostoma tigrinum, 1643 nucleotides long. RefSeq lists it as uncharacterized. Lineage: Eukaryota; Metazoa; Chordata; Chondrichthyes; Orectolobiformes; Stegostomatidae. The record is from RefSeq and is a predicted model, not a curated record. The transcript is spliced from 3 exons.